RNAcentral lists this ribosomal RNA (809 nucleotides) under uncultured Pseudomonas sp. RNAcentral's name for it is "bacterial SSU rRNA". It matches the Rfam family "Bacterial small subunit ribosomal RNA", at positions 1 to 783 of the family's 1533-position model. The record is from RNAcentral. Lineage: Bacteria; Pseudomonadati; Pseudomonadota; Gammaproteobacteria; Pseudomonadales; Pseudomonadaceae.
GCCGACUGAAUUCGCGAUGCAUCUAGAUUAGAGUUUGAUCAUGGCUCAGAUUGAACGCUGGCGGCAGGCCUAACACAUGCAAGUCGAGCGGAUGAAAGGAGCUUGCUCCUGGAUUCAGCGGCGGACGGGUGAGUAAUGCCUAGGAAUCUGCCUGGUAGUGGGGGACAACGUUUCGAAAGGAACGCUAAUACCGCAUACGUCCUACGGGAGAAAGCAGGGGACCUUCGGGCCUUGCGCUAUCAGAUGAGCCUAGGUCGGAUUAGCUAGUUGGUGAGGUAAUGGCUCACCAAGGCGACGAUCCGUAACUGGUCUGAGAGGAUGAUCAGUCACACUGGAACUGAGACACGGUCCAGACUCCUACGGGAGGCAGCAGUGGGGAAUAUUGGACAAUGGGCGAAAGCCUGAUCCAGCCAUGCCGCGUGUGUGAAGAAGGUCUUCGGAUUGUAAAGCACUUUAAGUUGGGAGGAAGGGUUGUAGAUUAAUACUCUGCAAUUUUGACGUUACCGACAGAAUAAGCACCGGCUAACUCUGUGCCAGCAGCCGCGGUAAUACAGAGGGUGCAAGCGUUAAUCGGAAUUACUGGGCGUAAAGCGCGCGUAGGUGGUUCGUUAAGUUGGAUGUGAAAUCCCCGGGCUCAACCUGGGAACUGCAUUCAAAACUGUCGAGCUAGAGUAUGGUAGAGGGUGGUGGAAUUUCCUGUGUAGCGGUGAAAUGCGUAGAUAUAGGAAGGAACACCAGUGGCGAAGGCGACCACCUGGACUGAUACUGACACUGAGGUGCGAAAGCGUGGGGAGCAAACAGGAUUAGAA